ACCUACGGGGCGCAGCAGUGGGGGAUAUUGGACAAUGGGGGAAACCCUGAUCCAGCGACGCCGCGUGAGUGAAGAAGUAUUUCGGUAUGUAAAGCUCUAUCAGCAGGGAAGAAAGAAAUGACGGUACCUGAGUAAGAAGCCCCGGCUAACUACGUGCCAGCAGCCGCGGUAAUACGUAGGGGGCAAGCGUUAUCCGGAAUUACUGGGUGUAAAGGGAGCGUAGACGGUAAUGCAAGUCUGGAGUGAAAGGCGGGGGCCCAACCCCCGGACUGCUCUGGAAACUGUGUAACUG
RNAcentral lists this ribosomal RNA (292 nucleotides) under uncultured bacterium. RNAcentral's name for it is "partial 16S ribosomal RNA". It matches the Rfam family "Bacterial small subunit ribosomal RNA", at positions 337 to 643 of the family's 1533-position model. The record is from RNAcentral.